UAACACAUGCNAGUCGAGCGGAUGACGGGAGCUUGCUCCUUGAUUCAGCGGCGGACGGGUGAGUAAUGCCUAGGAAUCUGCCUGGUAGUGGGGGACAACGUUUCGAAAGGAACGCUAAUACCGCAUACGUCCUACGGGAGAAAGCAGGGGACCUUCGGGCCUUGCGCUAUCAGAUGAGCCUAGGUCGGAUUAGCUAGUUGGUGGGGUAAUGGCUCACCAAGGCGACGAUCCGUAACUGGUCUGAGAGGAUGAUCAGUCACACUGGAACUGAAGACACGGUCCAGACUCCUACGGGAGGCAGCAGUGGGGAAUAUUGGACAAUGGGCGAAAGCCUGAUCCAGCCAUGCCGCGUGUGUGAAGAAGGUCUUCGGAUUGUAAAGCACUUUAAGUUGG
Molecule: ribosomal RNA, 393 nt
Filed under: Pseudomonas sp. ALE_F6
Lineage: Bacteria; Pseudomonadati; Pseudomonadota; Gammaproteobacteria; Pseudomonadales; Pseudomonadaceae
Description: bacterial SSU rRNA
Rfam family: Bacterial small subunit ribosomal RNA
Source: RNAcentral